CAGCCGCCACGGUAAAACGUAGGUGGCAAGCGUUGUCUGGAAUUAUUGGGCGUAAAGGGCUCGCAGGCGGUUUCUUAAGUCUGAUGUGAAAGCCCCCGGCUCAACCGGGGAGGGUCAUUGGAAACUGGGAAACUUGAGUGCAGAAGAGGAGAGUGGAAUUCCACGUGUAGCGGUGAAAUGCGUAGGGAUGUGGAGGAACACCAGUGGCGAAGGCGACUCUCUGGUCUGUAACUGACGCUGAGGAGCGAAAGCGUGGGGAGCGAACAGGAUUAGAUACCCCGGUAGUCCCUGUCUCUUAUAC
RNAcentral lists this ribosomal RNA (301 nucleotides) under uncultured bacterium. Its description in RNAcentral is "partial 16S ribosomal RNA". It matches the Rfam family "Bacterial small subunit ribosomal RNA", at positions 509 to 807 of the family's 1533-position model. The record is from RNAcentral.